Zalophus californianus (California sea lion) is the source of this 1017-nucleotide long non-coding RNA. RefSeq lists it as uncharacterized. The record is from RefSeq and is a predicted model, not a curated record. The transcript is spliced from 6 exons. Lineage: Eukaryota; Metazoa; Chordata; Mammalia; Carnivora; Otariidae.
CAAUAUGCAGUUCUCAUUGGUCAAGUCCACCGCACUCUCCAAAGAUCUUGUUUUCUAACUGACAAAUCCCCCCAGCCAGUCCGCCAGAAACGAGGCUGCUGUAGCACACUUCACAUCCAAUUUCUAUCUAAAGGCUACUUCCGGCCCUGAUCGUCUGAGUUGAUGCUCUUCUCAUGGGCCUCCCUUAAACAUGCGUGCUUCAUGCCUCUUUCCUGUCGUGUAGGGUGAAGAAUAAAGGCUUGGAGAGGGAAGGGAACUUGCAGGACAAUAAAGACCAGCCUUGUCUUCCCGUGGCUAAGGAGUCAGUCCAAAGAUCAGCCGGUGCGCAGACCCAGGAUUCAAAUAUUGGAUAAAGGAUCUGGGCUCAAACACAAGACUACAGUAUCACAAAGUGCAACAUUUAUGACAGAAGAAGGAAGAUCUCAGAGGUUUAGGCUUGUGCCCUACAGCAUUUUUGCCAUCAGCCUUUGGACUGGAGUGGAAAAGGAGGAGAGGAGCCCCACCUUCAUGCUGCAGGAUGUGUCUAGACCGGUAGCCUGAAGCAGUCUCUCGGUGCUAUGGAAGAGAUCCAGCAGCAUCUGCUCCACUAUGAGUGUAUGAUGGUUCUCUGAUCUGCAGAUUCUUUACGGGAAAGGAUUAUAGUUCAUCAUUUUUCAUCCUGUAAUUGAUACACUAACUGCCUAUCGAGACCCAGAUUUCAGAGGCAAAGUACAGCUACUGGCUUUGUCUGCAUAUCUUACUCUGAAAAAAAUUAAAAUGGGUGGAAAAUCCAGUGUGGCAGACACACCAAAGGUGUAAAAGCAAUUCUCAAGUGACCCUUCAGAAGCAUUAUCAAGGCUGCUUUAUGUAAAAGCAUUAAAUGCCAGCCUGGUGAAAAUUUAAGACUGAAUUUGCUGGGAUGGUUACUAUGAAAUAUUACAACUUAAGUGUCUGCUUUUCUGUAGUGUGUGCUACAGUCUGAACAAUUUCUAUCACUUUUGACUUUGGCAAAAUGUUCUUUCUCCAAAAUAAAGCUAA